Molecule: long non-coding RNA, 1588 nt
Filed under: Meleagris gallopavo (turkey)
Lineage: Eukaryota; Metazoa; Chordata; Aves; Galliformes; Phasianidae
Description: lncRNA (ENSMGAG00000022628.1)
Source: RNAcentral
UUACUCUAUUUGUAAAUUGCACAUCAUAGCUGCCCCGGGGGCGGCGGGACGUGGAGCUGAACGCUCAUCUGCAGGGCAACGGCUGCGUUGUGCUUGGAAGCAGCGGUGGGAGGAAGGAGCAGCUGCACCCGUAGGACAGUGCCCACAUCUCUCCCCCCGCCCCAUGGCACACAGACACCCACCCACCCUCCAGACAGAAAUACCUGCUGCAGGGAUGGGCAAACGCACCGAUCAGUGUGGGGCCCCUCCGGUGCCAGUGGGGCAGCAGUGGGGCAGCAGUGGGGCAGCAGUGGGGCCCGGAGCGGAGCUGCCGCCGUCCGGUUAUCACAAGAGGUAGUGAGAACAGUGCAGAAAGGACACAACUCAGAGCGCUCCGUUUCCAACCACUUUGCUGACCUUCCCCAGUGCCACAGAUCGGCACUGGGAUGCAGUCUAGGGGGGCAGGGGCUGUGGGAAAACCCCCAUGGGGCUCCGGGCAUCAGUAAAGUGCUGCUGGCGCUGGGCUGGGGGACGUGGGAUCCCCCAGGAGUGCCAUGCUGAGCUCUGCAUGCAGCCCCCCCGGGGCUCUAUUGCUUUGGGGAAUGGGGGGGCUGCACACNNNNNNNNNNNNNNNNNNNNCCCACUCCCCCCAUUUGGCACCACUACGCCCAGGGCGCAUCGCAGGACUCCGAAACGCACCCAGAGCACUCAGCAGUGAGAGGGCAGAACCUUCCAGAAAAUUCCUAAAGGACUCCGGAAGAGGACUCAGAGCAUCAGAGCUCCCAGGGAUGCGCUGUGUCCAUGGGGGCUCCGGUGCACAGAACCCAAACGGCUCUGACCCCGUCCCCAACCUCCCCCGGCGCUGUAGUGCAAAACUCAGGAAUGGAAUGAUGUUACCAGCAGUGAGACGCCCAGCACAGCUGCAAUCCUACUGCCUGUGGAUGGCACGGCACCAUACGGUGCUCACACCGACCCUAAGGGCACUGGGACCACGCUCAAACUGGCCCUAAGGACGACAGGACCCCAAACUAUGCUCACACCGACCCUAAGAGCACCAGGACCCCAAACGGUGCUCACACCAACCCUAAGGGCACUGGGACCCCAAAAGGCACUCACACCAACCAUAGGACAGAGCAACUCCAGAUGGUGCUCACACCGACUCCAAGGGCAAUGGGACCCCAAACUGUACUCGCACUGAGCCUAAGGAUGCUGAGACCCCAAAUGGAGCUCACACUGACUCUAUGAACAGUGGGACCCCAAAAUGUGCUCACACUGACCCUAAGGACAGCGAGACCAUAAACCAUGCUCACACCAACCCUAAGGAGAGUGGGACUGUGCUCACACCAAUCCUAAGAGCACCGGGACCCCAAACAGUGCUCACACCGACCCUAAGGACAGCAGGACCCCCAAAACCCCGCUCACACAGACGCUAAGGGCGGUGGGACCCCAAACGGCGCUCACACCGACCCGAACGGAGCCCAACCCACGUCCUGGCUGAGGGACGGACAGAUGGACGGACAGACGGCGGCUCACCACCACAGAGCAGCACUGGGAGCAGAGCACAGCAGUUCACCCUCUGGCUGUCGUCCCCUGCAGCGCCGGGUGAGGA